GCAGUUGUGACCGAGUGGUUAAGGCGUCUGACUAAAAUUCAGAUUCCCUUUGGGAGCGUAGGGUCGAAUCUUGCCGACAGCG
Ctenocephalides felis (cat flea) is the source of this 82-nucleotide non-coding RNA. NCBI's taxonomy places the organism in Eukaryota, Metazoa, Arthropoda, Insecta, Siphonaptera, Pulicidae. The record is from the annotation of a RefSeq genome assembly.